This 65-nucleotide transfer RNA is filed under the name Candidatus Spyradomonas excrementavium. It matches the Rfam family "tRNA", at positions 5 to 66 of the family's 71-position model. Rfam says of the family: Transfer RNA (tRNA) molecules are approximately 80 nucleotides in length. Their secondary structure includes four short double-helical elements and three loops (D, anti-codon, and T loops). Further hydrogen bonds mediate the characteristic L-shaped molecular structure. tRNAs have two regions of fundamental functional importance: the anti-codon, which is responsible for specific mRNA codon recognition, and the 3' end, to which the tRNAs corresponding amino acid is attached (by aminoacyl-tRNA synthetases). tRNAs cope with the degeneracy of the genetic code in two manners: having more than one tRNA (with a specific anti-codon) for a particular amino acid; and 'wobble' base-pairing, i.e. permitting non-standard base-pairing at the 3rd anti-codon position. Lineage: Bacteria; Bacillati; Candidatus Melainabacteria; Candidatus Gastranaerophilales; Candidatus Gastranaerophilaceae. RNAcentral also lists the same sequence under 1 other name. The record is from RNAcentral.
CUGUAGCCCAGCUGGAUAGAGCGUUUGGCUACGAACCAAAAGGUCGGGGGUUCGAAUCCCUCCAG